RNAcentral lists this unclassified non-coding RNA (393 nucleotides) under Ophidonais serpentina. Its description in RNAcentral is "sequence contains ITS2". The stretch from base 1 to 80 matches the Rfam family "5.8S ribosomal RNA", at positions 75 to 154 of the family's 154-position model. The record is from RNAcentral. Lineage: Eukaryota; Metazoa; Annelida; Clitellata; Tubificida; Naididae.
CAGGACACAUUGAACAUCGAUAUCUUGAACGCAUAUUGCGGGCCUCGGGUAUUCCCGAGGCCACGCCUGUCUCAGGGUCGGUUGAACGUAUCUAUCGCGAGUUGUCUCUUGCUCGCGCAGUGGAUCGUCGCGGCUUGCCGCGUCCGUGUCGCAGGUCCCAGUCGUCGGUUGUCUCUUGCCGUACGACCGGGUCUCGAUGCGCGGCGCGGCGAGUCACGUCGUCCGAAGUUCAGACGGUUUGCACACAAGGCGAAACCGCACGUCUCGAAUCCGACGAACUCAGUACGCGAGACGGUUGCUCGGAUGCACAUCUUUGUACCGUCGUCGAGUGUUGGCGUUUGUCGGGUCUGUGCGGUAGUAGUCGUGCUUACGAAGCAUCGAUAUCGAACGGCA